UACGUAGGGCGCAAGCGUUGUCCGGAAUUAUUGGGCGUAAAGAGCUCGUAGGCGGCUUGUCACGUCGAUUGUGAAAGCCCGAGGCUUAACCUCGGGUCUGCAGUCGAUACGGGCUAGCUAGAGUGUGGUAGGGGAGAUCGGAAUUCCUGGUGUAGCGGUGAAAUGCGCAGAUAUCAGGAGGAACACCGGUGGCGAAGGCGGAUCUCUGGGCCAUUACUGACGCUGAGGAGCGAAAGCAUGGGGAGCGAACAGG
RNAcentral lists this ribosomal RNA (253 nucleotides) under uncultured bacterium. RNAcentral's name for it is "partial 16S ribosomal RNA". It matches the Rfam family "Bacterial small subunit ribosomal RNA", at positions 524 to 776 of the family's 1533-position model. The record is from RNAcentral.